GACGAACGCUGGCGGCGUGCUUAACACAUGCAAGUCGAACGGAAAGGCCCUGCUUUUGUGGGGUGCUCGAGUGGCGAACGGGUGAGUAACACGUGAGUAACCUGCCCUUGACUUUGGGAUAACUUCAGGAAACUGGGGCUAAUACCGGAUAGGAGCUCCUGCUGCAUGGUGGGGGUUGGAAAGUUUCGGCGGUUGGGGAUGGACUCGCGGCUUAUCAGCUUGUUGGUGGGGUAGUGGCUUACCAAGGCUUUGACGGGUAGCCGGCCUGAGAGGGUGACCGGCCACAUUGGGACUGAGAUACGGCCCAGUCUCCUACGGGAGGCAGCAGUGGGGAAUAUUGCACAGUGGGCGGAAGCCUGAUGCGGCAACGCCGCGUGCGGGAUGACGGCCUUCGGGUUGUAAACCGCUUUCGCCUGUGACGAAGCGUGAGUGACGGUAAUGGGUAAAGAAGCACCGGCUAACUACGUG
Molecule: ribosomal RNA, 468 nt
Filed under: uncultured bacterium
Lineage: Bacteria
Description: partial 16S ribosomal RNA
Rfam family: Bacterial small subunit ribosomal RNA
Source: RNAcentral